AGUUGCCAAAGAAAAACAUGAAAGCACACAUUUAAUCGGUAGAAAUACUUUUCCCCCGUUAUUUUCAGUUAUAUAAUCAAAUUCAUACUUUCAUCUUUUAGUUGCUAGAGAUGCGAUCCAGUCGUUCGAUUACAUUACCUUGGAAAAUGUAGAUGCUACAGAGCAAACAUUUGGGUCAUUUGAAGCUUCACCGCUUGCUCUGUAAUGAGUAUUUUUAUUUCAAUAAAAAAAUUAUAAUAAUUACAUUCAUUUAUGAAUAUUGAAAAAUAAACAUGAAUAUAGAAUAUUUUUGAUUAGGCACACUUUUAUAAAUAUUGUUGAACAUAAUAUACUCUACGUGCAUAUCAAAGUUCCAGGUGGGAUCUCUGCUAGUUUAAAAGUUAUGGCCCAAUUGUCUCCAGAGAAAUUGGCAUAGUAGGCAAUGUAACCAAUAACAGCCCUCCUUUUACAAUACUUGUAUCAUUGCACAUCCUGCAAAUUACCAGCAGAGGGUGACCAUUUUCACAUUCACUCUUGGUAAUGUUUACAAGUGGAUCUUAACUUUAAAAGUAGCAGAGAUGCUGUUAGAAAAUAUUAAACAAUUAGCCAAAUAAAACAUUUGUACAAAAUACUACUCAUAUUACAGAGCAAGCUGUAAAGAUUCACAUGACUCCAAUAAUUGCUUUGUAGCGCCUACAUAUUAAACACUAUGGAGUCUUAAACUUUGAUCAAUUAUUUCUCAAUUAUGCUUUUAGAUACAAAUGUCAUUUCAACAAUCCUUCCUCAAAUUACUGUUCUAUGGAUUACAUUGUGUGAAUCAUGGUCUUUGUUGUUCUGGGUUUCGGGAGGAAGCACAUGUGUGACACACUUCGAAGACACUCCUUCCUGUAUGAAGUCACCACGGCCUAGCUAGCAACUGAUCCAAAUCAAUUGUGCCCAAUACUGCACUAAUAAAAACAACAUCUAUACAUAACCAAACAUCAUAAUAUGUCCUGUAACACAUCCUCUUAGUAGUUCAUCCUCAAGGAAGACCCCAAAGAAAGGCUUUAGAUAGUAAAACACAUUUAUUGAGUAGAGAAAAGGAUUAACCGGAAGCUGCACUUGUUUCUGCACCGCUAUAGAUCCAUUCAAUUUACCUCUGUAGCAGCAUGUGCAACAACUUCCUGGUAAAUAGAGAAUGUUAACACUCAAUAAUCCAUUCUGCUCUUCUAGGAAAAACAGUACACAGCACAGCAGGCUGGGACAGAGAACGAGAAAGAGAGGAGCACCAUAUACAUUAAAGCUUUUAAAAAUCAACAAGUCCAACUCUGACCUAAAAAAAACCCAACUAAGAUCAGGCACCUUCCCAAAUGGAUAGAAAAAUGCAACAAAAAAAAGAAAAGAUAUCUUCCGGCAGGGGAAGGCAUGUGUGUCUGAAGAGGGGGUUGGAAUAUGGCGGGGGUUGGAAUAUGGUUGGAGGAGGCUUAUUGUGCUCAUGCGUGCACCCCCUUGGCCAUUGGGGGUGGAUGUUGUAACCAUGGUAUGUUCUGUGCUUCAAUGACAGAAUUGAGAGGUACCCUUUUCACACUACUGAGCCAAGCCGAACUGAGCUGAAUUGGGAUGGACUGGUUCUGCAUCCGCCAUUAGUACACAGUAUGUUCAGGUCAGCACGACAAUGCUAAGGGUAGGGGUUUGCGGGUCGACUUUUAACUGUGCUUUAUUGGACAAGGAUAGGAAUGUGGACUGUGCUUCAUGUUGUGUGCCUCUCUCCCCACAUCCCUGUAUCCCAUGCAGCUGUAUGCAUUCAAUUAUUUGGCCACCAUUGGGUUACUGACUAAUUCAAGUCCAAGUUUAGUAAUAAUACUGCAAGCACCGCAAACUGAGCAAGAAGAGCAGAUAAUGUUAUAAAAUAUGGGGAUUGGUAGAAAAAAAAGACAACUCCCCAUAGUUGAGGGGAAUAGCCUGUUCUUUUAAACAAAGUAUUUCAUUGGUUGUGGCUGAGGUGAGUUACUCAAACACACAAUGUAAAGCACUUGGAGGCUUGAUGGGAAGCGCCUUCAAUAAAUGCAAUCAACCCAUUCAUUAAUUGCUACAGCAUAUAUUACUAAAAAUACAUGUCAUAUCGGGAGUUAAAUGGACACGUGAUACCUAUGUGUUUUCUGACAGCUUACAGCAUGUUUUUGUACAGGGAAAAUAUGUUUUGUUUUAAAGUUAAGAAAAAAAGUAAUUAUAAAAGGCAAAUAAAGUCUUACUGAAGGGCGUUGUUGACAUGGGUAUUGUGCUCCUUUGGUAGUAAAGCUGCCCCCUAACUCCAUUGGUCGACAGCAGGAGAGACAAAACCUCUCAAGAGCCCCGAACUAAAAAUAGGGUCCUUGUCCAUUUCGGUCCUUCAGUUUCUCUCCCCCCUUUUAUGUCCUCUCCGCGGUCUCUGUCAUUCAUUCUGGUUUGUAUUCAUUAGGCACCAAAUGGAAGAAAACAGUCUGAAACAGGGUGGGGCUUCCUGAUCUUGUCCAAUAAGAAAUGCUUGUUUUUGUUUUCCGUUUUCACAUGUUUUAAAACGUUUUUCAUUGCAUGCCCUAAUAAAUAUGACCCAGGUGUUUUUGGAUGUUUGCAUCUCUCUCACGUGAUGAGGCAGCAGUUGAUAUAGCGUGGCCCCAGUCUUCUCUUCAAGACUCCCUUUUUCCUCUUGGGGUUCAGGAUAGCGAUAAUGGCCUCAUCAAACACAGUUUUCAGUCCUUUCUGGGUGAGAGCCGAGCAUUCCACGUAGACACACGCACCAAUCUGGAGAGGAACAGGCUGUCACUCAAAACUAUCAACAUAGGGUUAACCUCAUCACCAAGCUAGCUUGGGGAGGAAGUCUUGUUUGUGAGAGACUCAAUCAACAAAUGCCCAAAACUGAAUAUAUAGAAGCUUUAUCAUACUUUUAAUACAGAAUUGGUUUGACGAGGGACAGACCAUUGGGUAAAGUAAGGUAGACCACUUGUCUCUCCUACACAAUAAAAAAAUCCUUCUGUAACCUCCCUCCUGGCCCCACAGUGGUACGUACCUCCUUGGCUAGCUUCUGGCCCUGCUCUGUGGUGAUGGGUUUUUCCUUCAUGUCGUUCAGCUUGGCAAUGGUCUUGGGGUCAUCACGCAGGUCAAUCUGAAACGGGGAGAGACAAGAUUUCCAAUCAGCACAGCCAAUCGGAAAGGCAGCAGAUAGGUUGCUUAAGAAGCAAC
This 3177-nucleotide long non-coding RNA is filed under the name Salmo salar (Atlantic salmon). RNAcentral describes it as "lncRNA (ENSSSAG00000093597.1)". Lineage: Eukaryota; Metazoa; Chordata; Actinopteri; Salmoniformes; Salmonidae. The record is from RNAcentral.